This 102-nucleotide microRNA precursor is filed under the name Daucus carota subsp. sativus. Lineage: Eukaryota; Viridiplantae; Streptophyta; Magnoliopsida; Apiales; Apiaceae. The record is from RNAcentral.
GGUGAGAAAUGAUGUUGGAAUGGCUCAAUCAAGCGAAAUCUCCCAAGAGUAAUGCUGGGUCCUUUAUUUUGAUUGAGCCGCGCCAAUAUCAUGUCACGCUUC